RNAcentral lists this ribosomal RNA (454 nucleotides) under uncultured bacterium. Its description in RNAcentral is "partial 16S ribosomal RNA". It matches the Rfam family "Bacterial small subunit ribosomal RNA", at positions 28 to 507 of the family's 1533-position model. The record is from RNAcentral.
GAUGAACGCUGACAGCAUGCUUAACACAUGCAAGUCAACUUGAACUUCGGUUUGGGUGGCGGACGGGUGAGUAACGCGUAAAGAACUUGCCUCACAGCUAGGGACAACAUUUGGAAACGAAUGCUAAUACCUGAUAUUAUGAUUAUAUGGCAUCGUAUAAUUAUGACAGCUAUCUGCGCUGUGAGAGAGCUUUGCGUCCCAUUAGCUAGUUGGAGAGGUAACAGCUCACCAAGGCGAUGAUGGGUAGCCGGCCUGAGAGGGUGAUCGGCCACAAGGGGACUGAGACACGGCCCGUACUCCUACGGGAGGCAGCAGUGGGGAAUAUUGGACAAUGGACCGAGAGUCUGAUCCAGCAAUUCUGUGUGCACGAUGAAGUUUUUCGGAAUGUAAAGUGCUUUCAGUUGGGAAGAAAAAAAUGACGGUACCAACAGAAGAAGUGACGGCUAAAUACGUG